UCCUCCAUCUUGGAUUUUACAAGUUUAAAAGUUGCGGCGGCGGGAGGCAAUUGGUGGAAUUUAUAAAGGACGGUCCAGUGUUUCCGAUGCUAAAGUAGAUAAGAUAGGAAGCAUUGAAGCUCCUUUCAUUAUCAUUUAGAGAAUUCAAUCAGCUCUCACCGGCCGCUCAGAUACUUCCGGGUCAGUUCAUUCACGAAGGAACCAUCAUUUGUUGCUCUUUUAAACAACAUUCCCAUGACGGACUUCAUGAACCCUGAAGGAUUUUUUCUGGGAUGCUGCGCUUCACCCUUUCAAUUCAUCAAGGCACUUUCUGAAGCCAGCUGAAACUAACAAGCAGUGGAGAAACUCUUCAUGACAAAAUGUCAUGUCAAAACCUGACCCCCAUUUAUCAGUACAAGAACAGCACUGUGACAAGCUCUGUAAUGUGUUGACUGUCUGAUAGCUAGGACUGUUGGAAGUGAUGCAAACGCUUCCCACAAGGCGCAUUGCUAUAGAGGAAACAGAAGCCGACUAUAGAAACAGAUUCA
Molecule: long non-coding RNA, 527 nt
Organism: Seriola aureovittata
Lineage: Eukaryota; Metazoa; Chordata; Actinopteri; Carangiformes; Carangidae
Exons: 3
Source: RefSeq, a predicted model, not a curated record